RNAcentral lists this ribosomal RNA (443 nucleotides) under uncultured Paludibacter sp. RNAcentral describes it as "bacterial SSU rRNA". It matches the Rfam family "Bacterial small subunit ribosomal RNA", at positions 354 to 794 of the family's 1533-position model. Lineage: Bacteria; Pseudomonadati; Bacteroidota; Bacteroidia; Bacteroidales; Paludibacteraceae. The record is from RNAcentral.
UGAGGGAAUAUUGGGUCAAUGGGCGAGAGCCUGAACCAGCCAAGUCGCGUGAGGGAAGAAGGUCCUACGGAUUGUAAACCUCUUUUGCCGGGGAGCAAAGGGGCCAUUUAUGGCAGGAUGAGCGUACCCGGAGAAAAAGCAUCGGCUAACUCCGUGCCAGCAGCCGCGGUAAUACGGAGGAUGCGAGCGUUAUCCGGAUUUAUUGGGUUUAAAGGGUGCGUAGGCGGAUGGGUAAGUCAGCGGUGAAAUGUCCCGGCUCAACCGGGGAACUGCCAUUGAUACUGCCUGUCUUGAAUGCGGAUGCCGUGGGAGGAAUGUGUAGUGUAGCGGUGAAAUGCAUAGAUAUUACACAGAACACCGAUUGCGAAGGCAUCUCACGAAUCCGUUAUUGACGCUGAGGCACGAAAGCGUGGGGAUCAAACAGGAUUAGAUACCCUGGUAGU